UGGGAAGUGGCUCAGUGGUAGAGUGCUUGCCUUGUAUGCAUGAGGCCCUGGGUUUGAUUCCUCAGUACCAG
This 71-nucleotide transfer RNA is filed under the name Dipodomys ordii (Ord's kangaroo rat). It matches the Rfam family "tRNA". Rfam says of the family: Transfer RNA (tRNA) molecules are approximately 80 nucleotides in length. Their secondary structure includes four short double-helical elements and three loops (D, anti-codon, and T loops). Lineage: Eukaryota; Metazoa; Chordata; Mammalia; Rodentia; Heteromyidae. The record is from Rfam by way of RNAcentral.